GCGGAUGUGCUGGAAUUGGUAGACUGGCUAGCUUGAGGUGCUAGUGGCCCACGGCCGUGCGGGUUCGAGUCCCGCCAUCCGCACCA
RNAcentral lists this transfer RNA (86 nucleotides) under Pseudoflavonifractor capillosus. RNAcentral's name for it is "tRNA-Leu". It matches the Rfam family "tRNA". From Rfam's summary of the family: Transfer RNA (tRNA) molecules are approximately 80 nucleotides in length. Their secondary structure includes four short double-helical elements and three loops (D, anti-codon, and T loops). The record is from RNAcentral. Lineage: Bacteria; Bacillati; Bacillota; Clostridia; Eubacteriales; Oscillospiraceae. RNAcentral also lists the same sequence under 3 other names.